This 253-nucleotide ribosomal RNA is filed under the name uncultured bacterium. RNAcentral's name for it is "partial 16S ribosomal RNA". It matches the Rfam family "Bacterial small subunit ribosomal RNA", at positions 524 to 776 of the family's 1533-position model. The record is from RNAcentral.
UACGUAGGGGGCUAGCGUUGUCCGGAAUCAUUGGGCGUAAAGCGCGUGUAGGCGGUCCGGUAAGUCCGCUGUGAAAGUCGGGGGCUCAACCCUCGGAUGCCGGUGGAUACUGUCGGGCUAGAGUACGGAAGAGGCGAGUGGAAUUCCUGGUGUAGCGGUGGAAUGCGCAGAUAUCAGGAGGAACACCAAUAGCGAAGGCAGCUCGCUGGGACGUUACUGACACUAAGGCGCGAAAGCGUGGGGAGCGAACAGG